Molecule: unclassified non-coding RNA, 153 nt
Filed under: uncultured Degelia
Lineage: Eukaryota; Fungi; Ascomycota; Lecanoromycetes; Peltigerales; Pannariaceae
Description: sequence contains ITS1
Source: RNAcentral
CCGAGCGAGGGCCCCUGGUCCGACCUCCAACCCUUUGUUGACCAACACUUGUUGCCUCGGGGGCGACCCGGCCGCCGACGCGUCGGCAUCAGGGCCCCCGACGGACCCUUCAAACUCUGUAUCUGUACGUCGGAGUGGAAAGCAAAUCAAUCA